Long non-coding RNA from Mytilus trossulus (common blue mussel), 417 nucleotides. RefSeq lists it as uncharacterized. The record is from RefSeq and is a predicted model, not a curated record. Lineage: Eukaryota; Metazoa; Mollusca; Bivalvia; Mytilida; Mytilidae. The transcript has 3 exons.
UGAUGCUGAGAGAUUCAAGAAGCAUUUAAAGAACAGAAUACAUCUACACAUCUGUGCUGAGCCUGUUUUGAUAAUAUUUAUCAUAGUAAAGACGAAUAGAAUUGCUUUGAAAAGAACAAUAUGUCAAUGAGUUUGACGUUCAAACACUUGACGAACAAUAUUUGGAAGGUCAUUCUUCUAUGCCUGGUAUACUUUAUGUGCAUAGGAACAGCAGAAAACAACAUAAGCAUUAAAGAAUUGAUUCUUACAUUCCGUCCAACAAAGACAACAAGUAUUACAUACAAUGAAGUAUUUAAAAACUUUGAUUUUCAUGUUUGCACAGAAAAGUUCUUUAAACGUAUACAACUUAUCUCAAAUAUGGUAGACUUGAAUAAUUUUGUUCUUAGGCCUAAAAGAGGACGUAUAAAAGAAAACAUA